This 85-nucleotide transfer RNA is filed under the name Streptomyces tanashiensis. RNAcentral's name for it is "tRNA-Arg". The record is from RNAcentral. Lineage: Bacteria; Bacillati; Actinomycetota; Actinomycetes; Kitasatosporales; Streptomycetaceae.
GCUCGGCUGGUGCACGGCACGGGCGCUGCGUUCCUCCGCGCCGGGGGUGGAGCCGCCGUCCCGGGUUCCGGUCCCGGGCCGGCGC